GGGCAAGUGGCGGAAUGGUAGACGCGCUGGUCUUAGGAACCAGUGGUGCAAGCCGUGGGGGUUCGAGUCCCUUCUUGCCCA
Molecule: transfer RNA, 81 nt
Filed under: Cyanobacteriota bacterium
Lineage: Bacteria; Bacillati; Cyanobacteriota
Description: Cyanobacteria bacterium (drinking water metagenome) tRNA-Leu
Rfam family: tRNA
About the family: Transfer RNA (tRNA) molecules are approximately 80 nucleotides in length. Their secondary structure includes four short double-helical elements and three loops (D, anti-codon, and T loops).
Source: RNAcentral